This 492-nucleotide ribosomal RNA is filed under the name uncultured bacterium. RNAcentral's name for it is "partial 16S ribosomal RNA". It matches the Rfam family "Bacterial small subunit ribosomal RNA", at positions 29 to 507 of the family's 1533-position model. The record is from RNAcentral.
AGUGAACGCUGGCGGUAGGCCUAACACAUGCAAGUCGAACGGCAGCACAGUAAGAGCUUGCUCUUACGGGUGUCGAGUGGCGGACGGGUGAGGAAUACAUCGGAAUCUACUUUUUCGUGGGGGAUAACGUAGGGAAACUUACGCUAAUACCGCAUACGACCUACGGGUGAAAGCAGGGGAUCUUCGGACCUUGCGCGAUUGAAUGAGCCGAUGUCGGAUUAGCUAGUUGGCGGGGUAAAGGCCCACCAAGGCGACGAUCCGUAGCUGGUCUGAGAGGAUGAUCAGCCACACUGGAACUGAGACACGGUCCAGACUCCUACGGGAGGCAGCAGUGGGGAAUAUUGGACAAUGGGCGCAAGCCUGAUCCAGCCAUACCGCGUGGGUGAAGAAGGCCUUCGGGUUGUAAAGCCCUUUUGUUGGGAAAGGAAAGCAGCAGGUUAAUACCCCGCUGUUCUGACGGUACCCAAAGAAUAAGCACCGGCUAACUUCGUG